RNAcentral lists this ribosomal RNA (383 nucleotides) under uncultured eukaryote. RNAcentral describes it as "partial 18S ribosomal RNA". It matches the Rfam family "Eukaryotic small subunit ribosomal RNA", at positions 592 to 976 of the family's 1831-position model. The record is from RNAcentral.
CAAUAGCGUAUAUUAAAGUUGUUGCAGUUAAAAAGCUCGUAGUUGGAUUUCUGGUGGGAGCGAUCGGUCUGGCGCUUAGCGCGAGUACUUGCAUCGUCUCCGGCCAUCCUUGGGGAGAGUUUGUCUGGCAUUAGGUUGUCGGGCAGAGGAUCCUCAUCGUUUACUGUGAAAAAAUUAGAGUGUUCAAAGCAGGCUUAUGCCGUUGAAUAUAUUAGCAUGGAAUAAUAAGAUAGGACUUUGGUACUAUUUUGUUGGUUUGCGCACCAAAGUAAUGAUUAAUAGGGACAGUUGGGGGUAUUCGUAUUCCGUUGUCAGAGGUGAAAUUCUUGGAUUUACGGAAGACGAACUACUGCGAAAGCAUUUACCAAGGAUGUUUUCAUUAA